Molecule: ribosomal RNA, 439 nt
Filed under: uncultured bacterium
Lineage: Bacteria
Description: partial 16S ribosomal RNA
Rfam family: Bacterial small subunit ribosomal RNA
Source: RNAcentral
CUACGGGGGGCUGCAGUGGGGAAUAUUGCACAAUGGAGGAAACUCUGAUGCAGCAACGCCGCGUGGAGGAUGACACUUUUCGGAGCGUAAACUCCUUUUAUAUAGGAAGAAGAUGACGGUACUAUAUGAAUAAGCGCCGGCUAACUCCGUGCCAGCAGCCGCGGUAAUACGGAGGGCGCAAGCGUUACUCGGAAUCACUGGGCGUAAAAAGCGUGUAGGCGGAUUAAAAAGUCAGAAGUGAAAUCCUAUAGCUUAACUAUAGAACUGCUUCUGAAACUCUUAAUCUAGAAUAUGGGAGAGGUAGAUGGAAUUUCAGGUGUAGGGGUAAAAUCCGUAGAGAUCAGAAGGAAUACCGAUUGCGAAGGCGAUCUACUAGAACAUUAUUGACGCUGAGACGCGAAAGCGUGGGGAGCAAACAGGAUUAGAUACCCUCGUAGUC